GGCGGCGUAGCUCAGCUGGCUAGAGCGUACGGUUCAUACCCGUAAGGUCGGGGGUUCGAUUCCCUCCGCCGCUA
Non-coding RNA from Anoxybacillus flavithermus, 74 nucleotides. The record is from Rfam. NCBI's taxonomy places the organism in Bacteria, Bacillati, Bacillota, Bacilli, Caryophanales, Anoxybacillaceae.